RNAcentral lists this ribosomal RNA (365 nucleotides) under uncultured eukaryote. RNAcentral's name for it is "partial 18S ribosomal RNA". It matches the Rfam family "Eukaryotic small subunit ribosomal RNA", at positions 592 to 975 of the family's 1831-position model. The record is from RNAcentral.
CAAUAGCGUAUAUUAACGUUGUUGCAGUUAAAAAGCUCGUAGUUGGAUUUCUGGAGGGAGCGUCGGCCCGUAUUUACGAGUGCGUGACGUCUCUGUCCAUCCUUGCGGGAAGGCACGGCAUUGAUUUGUUGUGUCGGAUCGCAUCAUUUACUGUGAAAAAAUUAGAGUGUUCAAAGCAGGCUUUCGCUUGAAUACAUUAGCAUGGAAUAAUAAGAUAGGAAUUUGGUGCUAUUUUGUUGGUUGAGCCUAAAGUAAUGAUUAAUAGGGAUAGUUGGGGGCACCUGUAUUGCGUUGUCAGAGGUGAAAUUCUUGGAUUUACGCAAGACAAACAGCUGCGAAAGCGUCUGCCAAGGAUGUUUUCAUUA